This is a long non-coding RNA of Paramacrobiotus metropolitanus, 668 nucleotides long. RefSeq lists it as uncharacterized. The transcript has 3 exons. The record is from RefSeq and is a predicted model, not a curated record. NCBI's taxonomy places the organism in Eukaryota, Metazoa, Tardigrada, Eutardigrada, Parachela, Macrobiotidae.
UUGUUUUUAAUUUUAGUUUUAUUACACUUUGCUUUGAUGUUGAGGGUUGAGUAGAAAAUGAUCAGGUCUGAAACCAGACAUGAUUGUAGUUUUCUGUAUGGAAUUUUGAAACAUUGAGUCAGGAAGCAGUGCCAGGUUAAGAUGGUUUCUUCACGGGUCCACGAGCAGUAUCGCCGUUGAGAGCAUCUCUGCUGAACGAGGAGCCUGCAGCUGGGUUGUUGGACGAAAUUGCCGUGAUUCUCAAUCAUUCUGUUAUAACAGGUUCUUCGGUUAUUUUUGGAGUCGACUCCAUGGAACGAUCUCCCUUCCCCUUCGUUUGGCAUGAAUUACUGGCACCUUUGUUGCAAACGCACACGAGCGCACACUGCUCCUUUGGAUGGAGGUGCGAAGCACAUUGCCAGUCUAAACAAAGGAAAUGAUAACGGAUUUCAUUCUCCAUUUGAUGGACUGGAGUCGACUCCGGAACCGAAGCUGGCUUUUUGUGGUUUGAUUUUGGCUGUAGCAAUAUAUUCUUUCAGUCUAAAUUUUUAAAACAGCAAUUGCAACACCUCAGACGAUAAUUUGAUGUUUAUUUGUGUUGUUUUUUUCUGUUAUUUCAGUGUCGUGUUUUUUGUGCGUUGAACUGAAGUAUGUGCAAAAUUACGAGUGAUGUGCGGCAAAAGUUGCAA